Molecule: non-coding RNA, 530 nt
Organism: Dipodomys ordii (Ord's kangaroo rat)
Lineage: Eukaryota; Metazoa; Chordata; Mammalia; Rodentia; Heteromyidae
Source: Rfam
UUAAUAUUCCAACUUAAACAACUUCAAAUUUUAAUCGAUGUAAAAUAUGCAAACCACUGGAAUAAACAUUUUGGUUUGGGGUGACCUCGGAGCAUAAAAAAAACCUCCGAAGGACUAACAUUAAGACCAACUAGUCCAAAUUAUAAAUGUCCAAAUAUUGACCCAGAAAUAAUUCUGAUCAAUGAACCAAGUUACCCUAGAGAUAACAGCGCAAUCUUGUUAAAGAGUUCAUAUCGACAAUAAGGUUUACGACCUCGAUGUUGGAUCAGGACAUCCCAAUGGUGCAGCAGCUAUUAAAGGUUCGUUUGUUCAACGAUUAAAGUCCUACGUGAUCUGAGUUCAGACCGGAGCAAUCCAGGUCGGUUUCUAUCUAUUUACCUAUUUCUCCUAGUACGAAAGGACCAGAGAAAUGAGGCCAACUUUACAAAAGCGCCUUAAUACUUAAUAAAUGAUAUUAUAUCAACUUACAAAGUAACUUAACUCACUCAAUUACAUCCCGACAUUAGGGAUUGUUAAGAUGGCAGAGCCAG